Molecule: long non-coding RNA, 614 nt
Filed under: Cyanistes caeruleus (blue tit)
Lineage: Eukaryota; Metazoa; Chordata; Aves; Passeriformes; Paridae
Description: lncRNA (ENSCCEG00000014429.1)
Source: RNAcentral
AUGGUGCCUACACUCAGCCCCUCCACACAGCCACUACAGCUGAGAUCAGCACGGCGGCCCAAGGACUCCCCACAGACGGUGGAAUACAGGUUGCUGAAACAAAAAGUGUGUCCAGCCUCCAGGGCUUGCCAGCAGCUAUUGACUGAUAGGAGCACACUGUCCUUGGUGGCAGGAGGGAGCAACUUGCUUUAUCUAUGCAUUCCCUGGCAAGCAGCAGCAGUGGAGAAAGAGACAUGUCUCGCUGGCCAGUGUCCAGUCCCUGGCAAGCCAAAUCAUUCUACAAGCUCUGAAACUGAAGACACAAAAUCAGCAAUGAAACAGUGCUGCUUGAGUCAGAGGUGCGAAGGAAUCAGCUCUCCACUCCAUGAUCCAUCCUCCAGCUCACAGCUGGUACAAAUGGGUGUGACUCAUUGCACAGCCAGAGGUUAUAAUGAAGUAUCCCACUCAUCCUUUAGCUCACCCUUUGUUCGAGACAAUGCGGAUUGCGGAAGGUUUCUGAGGAGGCCAUGUCCUGCUCAUGAGGCUCCUGCUCAGCUGCUCUGUAGCUUUCCCCCACCCGGAGGGAGGACAGGCAGGGGAGGUGACAACCUUCAGCAAAGGGUCCCUGUGCUGUU